This is a small nuclear RNA of Rattus norvegicus (Norway rat), 107 nucleotides long. Lineage: Eukaryota; Metazoa; Chordata; Mammalia; Rodentia; Muridae. The record is from Ensembl.
GUGCUCGCUUCGGCAGCACAUAUACUAAAAUUGGAACGAUACAGAGAAGAUUAGCAUGGCCCCUGUGCGAGGAUGACACUCGAAUUCGUGUAGCGUUCCGUGUUUUU